This 75-nucleotide transfer RNA is filed under the name Xylanibacillus composti. RNAcentral's name for it is "tRNA-Gln". It matches the Rfam family "tRNA". From Rfam's summary of the family: Transfer RNA (tRNA) molecules are approximately 80 nucleotides in length. Their secondary structure includes four short double-helical elements and three loops (D, anti-codon, and T loops). Lineage: Bacteria; Bacillati; Bacillota; Bacilli; Caryophanales; Paenibacillaceae. The record is from RNAcentral.
UGGGGAUUAGCCAAGCGGUAAGGCAACGGACUUUGACUCCGUCAUGCGUAGGUUCGAAUCCUACAUCCCCAGCCA